GGGGAAUAUUGGGCAAUGGGGGAAACCCUGACCCAGCAACGCCGCGUGAGUGAAGAAGGCCUUCGGGUUGUAAAGCUCUGUCGCAGGGGACGAAGAAAGUGACGGUACCCUGUGAGGAAGCCCCGGCUAACUACGUGCCAGCAGCCGCGGUAAUACGUAGGGGGCGAGCGUUGUCCGGAAUUACUGGGCGUAAAGGGUGCGUAGGCGGCUUGUUAAGUUGGAUGUGAAAUACCCGGGCUCAACCUGGGGGGUGCAUUCGAUACUGGCAGGCUAGAGUGCAGGAGAGGGAAGCGGAAUUCCUAGUGUAGCGGUGAAAUGCGUAGAUAUUAGGAGGAACACCAGUGGCGAAGGCGGCUUUCUGGACUGUAACUGACGCUGAUGCACGAAAGCGUGGGGAGCAAACA
Molecule: ribosomal RNA, 404 nt
Filed under: uncultured Eubacteriales bacterium
Lineage: Bacteria; Bacillati; Bacillota; Clostridia; Eubacteriales
Description: bacterial SSU rRNA
Rfam family: Bacterial small subunit ribosomal RNA
Source: RNAcentral